Molecule: long non-coding RNA, 92 nt
Filed under: Anser brachyrhynchus (Pink-footed goose)
Lineage: Eukaryota; Metazoa; Chordata; Aves; Anseriformes; Anatidae
Description: lncRNA (ENSABRG00000010606.1)
Source: RNAcentral
UUCUUACUAAGAUUUGGUCUGGAACCAACUAGCAACUGCAGCAGUUUCUGGCAAGCUGAAACUCUUGAGGAGAGAGAGACAGGACAGCAAAA